GCGCGGGAGGCUGUCGGCCAGAGUCCCCGCCACGCUGCCUGCCGGCGUCGCGUUGGGGCCGAGGACACACCCCCUGGGGCCCGGUUAGGGCUCUGUCCUCCGGCGCCCCUUUCCCCGUUAUGGCAAUGGCUUCUCGCUGCCGAAAUAGCGAAGCUAGCCUUUGGGCUGGGAGCGUGCUGGCUCCUCCUAACUUGUAGGGCUGUUUGUGCGUGACCUUGGGCAGGGUGCAAACAGAGGUGACAGAGAGGGACCAGUUCUCAUCCUGGAGUCCCUGUAUCUCCCGAGCUUCCUUCUUUGGUUUUCUCUUGGCUCACGCUCAAAGGUGAUUCCCUCCGAACCCAGAGCACCUGCUUUGUUGCAUACAAAGCUACCUCUGUCUGUCCUGGGCCUGGAUCUACCUUGGGGUCGAAAAGAAAGGCCUUUUAAGUGGGUGCAUGUGCAGAGGAGAGUUAUGGUCCCGAAAGACUCACCAGAUUGCCAGUAGAGACCGUCUUCUUUCCCUAAAGCUUCCUUUCCUCCCCUCCCCCAAUGCUUUCAGAGUAGAUUAACUAAUUACCUCCAAUUAAAGCGGCUUGAUCUCUGUUCCUCCUGGGCUUCAACACUGCCCCUAGGACUCUUCCUAGGCAGCCUCGGUCUGAAAGGGGACCUGGCCACUUAGGUGGAUCAGUGAAUCAGUUACAUAAUGCAGAGGGCCACAAAGGAAGCCCACCGGGUCAUGUGCUUCACGGGGAGUGGUGCAGCCGAGCCUAGUUCUCUGACUCUGUCGGGUUUCAGGCCCUAAUGGGUCUGUUGGCGUCAGGAGCUGUCUUCUUUGGAGGUAAGGCAGUUGGGUGAAGGGCCUGCUGCAGAUACUGAGGGCUAGAGAAGCAAUAGUCAGAGGGCAACCCAGAAGCCACCAGACCUUGGGGACACUUGUGGCCUCCCUCACCCAGGACUCAGGGACAGCAGACUCUAAAUGUCCCUCCUCACUCUAACCUUGCUACCCUCCCAUGUCUUCUAAGUGCUCCACCCCUCACUGGCCUGGGCACUAGCCCAGCCCAGUCCAUCCCAGGCCCCGCCCUGACCCCACGUGUGGGACGUGAGGGGAGGGAUACCUGGCAUCGGAGGUAGGAUGUUGGGUUGUGACCCAGGUCUCACCUCUGGACAAGCUGGCCUGUUUUGGUCAGGCAAGCUUAUGCCAGGCUGUGACUCAGGGCCUAAUUCUACCUUGAGUCCUGCCAUAGCAGGGAUUUGGGCUUGGAUCUCUUGUGUAUGCAAAAUGGAGGGGAGACAGCUCCUGUCAGUGGCAGGCUUCUGUCUUGAGGUGCUCUCUCUUUAAGCUCCUAGGUUCUAGGGUACUAGCCAUAGCUGUUCCUUCCAGUGUGUUGCCCUGGUAGGAGGUGGCAGGGAAGGCCCUCUGUCGGGAACAAGGGUUUCAGGGGCAGAGGGCAACUGAACUAUUCAGGGCCGGAAGUGCUACCUCUGGGGUGUCAAAAGUCUGUUUGCCAGUUUGCUUAACCCCUACGCCCAUGUAAAGCCGGUCACAACUAACUCACUUCUAGGGGUGUUUCUUUAUGUAUGCUCAGACCGUUGAUAGGGGAGCUUAAAGUUUUCACUUGUUUCUCUGUUCCUUGUCCCCUUCUUCAGCCCUUCCCUAAGUGUAUCUGUAGGACUUUGUUCUUUCCGGCACUUCGUACUGGCCAGCAGAGGGCGCUACCCAAGGACUGAGGACACCAGGGAAGAGCUCACUGAGUGCAGGCUGGCCUGUCUCCACCAGCGGACUGGAAGAUCUAAUGGAAACCAGGAAGGAAUGGUGUUUGUGUUGGCAUCCAUGGGCCCUGUAGCCCUGCCAACUCCCACAGCAUGUGACAUUGUCAGGGGACUGGAGGUGUGAAGCAGAAGUCACCCGGAGAGGAUCAUGCUGCUGCCUGCUUCCAGUCACAUCAUAUGACCCUCUGCGGAUCGAGAGCUGAGAGCUUCCUCCCCACCGGCCCUUCCCCGGCACUGGCUCCACAUCUCCAGGAGUAGCAGCAUCGGAGUCUACUGAGCAGAGCCGAUCUCCCUCUGCCUGGCUUUCGGAAACUGAGGUCCCUACCUCCUGCGGCUGGACUCAUCUCCAAGCUUCAGUGUCUCUCUCCCGUCCUGUUCAUCAGCCUGGCUCUCGCUACCCUCACCUCAGAGCAGGCAGGGUCUCAAUAGGGUGAGCUGCUCAGGGGGCAUCUCCACUCUUGCCAGGCAAUCAUCUCUCUUGCAGCCCCUCCCCUGCUGCCGACUGUUCUUCAGGGAGAAGGCUCGCUGGCAGGGUGGCAGGCUGCCCACCAAUGGGGGCCAUGCCAAGUGUGAUGUGAUGUGUGCUGAUCCCUCUCCAUGCCUUGCCGAAGACCAGGGCUGAUGCACCCGCAGGCUGGGGAGCCUGGGCUGUUCUCUCAUCAUCACCCUGGGGGGGAGGAUGUCACAGUGAAUAGAGGGCUCCCUUGUGUUAUAGGUGGAAAGGCCAUUCCGAAAGUCUCUCCUAGACCCCUUAUGUCUGGUCUUGUGCCCCCAGUUUAUGGGGGCUCUGAGCACUAUUCAGGGUGUCAUAUUAGUUGUAACCCCAGUGGGAAUGGAGGGGCCGUGAGUGGCAGAACCUCCCACCCCAGCAUACUAAAGAUAUUUUCCUGUAUCCCCUGCCUAACUCUGUCUGUUGAAGUCUCAGGCUCCAGGAGAGAGCGUGAGGGGUUUGAGGGACAGAAGGAGAAACGGGCAGUGUUAAGCACAGCACCAGUACAGUUUGAAGAGUUCCUUUCUGUUCCCUUUCUGACAGGCCUGUCUGUGACGGGCUGUGCCAGGCAAGAGGAAGGCUGAGGACCUGGGGUAGCCCAUCAUUCUCAGAUAUAAUAAAUUCUUGAGAUUAUCAUGCA
This 2879-nucleotide small RNA is filed under the name Rattus norvegicus (Norway rat). Its description in RNAcentral is "uncharacterized LOC102550363". The record is from RNAcentral. Lineage: Eukaryota; Metazoa; Chordata; Mammalia; Rodentia; Muridae.